This 1409-nucleotide ribosomal RNA is filed under the name Klebsiella sp. Its description in RNAcentral is "partial 16S ribosomal RNA". It matches the Rfam family "Bacterial small subunit ribosomal RNA". Lineage: Bacteria; Pseudomonadati; Pseudomonadota; Gammaproteobacteria; Enterobacterales; Enterobacteriaceae. The record is from RNAcentral.
UGCAGUCGAGCGGUAGCACANANAGCUUGCUCNCGGGUGACGAGCGGCGGANGGGUGAGUAAUGUCUGGGAAACUGCCUGAUGGAGGGGGAUAACUACUGGAAACGGUAGCUAAUACCGCAUAACGUCNCAAGACCNANGUGGGGGACCUUCGGGCCUCNUGCCAUCNNAUGUGCCCNGAUGGGAUUAGCUAGUANGUGGGGUANUGGCUCACCUAGGCGACNAUCCCUAGCUGGUCNGAGAGGAUGACCNNCCACACUGGAACUGAGACACGGUCCANACUCCUACGGGAGGCANCNNUGGGGAAUAUUGCACAAUGGGCGCAAGCCUGAUGCANCCAUGCCGCGUGUANNAANAANGCCUUCGGGUUGUAAAGUACUUUCANCGAGGANGAANGCNUUAAGGUUAAUAACCUUGGUGAUUGACNUUACUCGCANAAAAAGCACCGGCUAACUCCGUGCCAGCANCCNCGGUAAUACNGANGGUGCAAGCGUUANUCNGAAUUACUGGGCGUAAAGCGCACGCANGCGGUCUGUCAAGUCNGAUGUGAAAUCCCCGGGCUCAACCUGGGAACUGCAUUCNAAACUGGCAGGCUAGAGUCUUGUAGAGGGGGGUAGAAUUCCAGGUGUAGCGGUGAAAUGCGUAGAGAUCUGGAGGAAUACCGGUGGCGAAGGCGGCNCNCCUGGACAAAGACUGACGCUCAGGUGCGAAAGCGUGNGNGAGCAAACAGGAUUAGAUACCCUGGUAGUCCACGCCGUAAACGAUGUCGACUUGGAGGUUGUGCCCUUGAGGCGUGGCUUCCGGAGCUAACGCGUUAAGUCGACCGCCUGGGGAGUACGGCCGCAAGGUUAAAACUCAAAUGAAUUGACGGGGGCCCGCACAAGCGGUGGAGCAUGUGGUUUAAUUCGAUGCAACGCGANGAACCUUACCUACUCUUGACAUCCAGNAGAANUUAGCAGAGAUGCUUUGNUGCGCNUUCGGGAACUNUGAGACAGGUGGUGCAUGGCUGUUGUCAGCUCGUGUUGUGAAAUGUUGGGUUAAGUCCCGCAACGAGCGCAACCCUUCUCNUUUGUUGCCAGCGGUUNGGCCGGGAACUCAAAGGAGACUGCCAGUGAUAAACNGGAGGAAGGUGGGGAUGACGUCANGUCAUCAUGGCCCUUACGAGUAGGGCUACACACGUGNUACAAUGGCAUAUACAAAGAGAAGCGACCUCGCGAGAGCAAGCNGACCUCAUAAAGUAUGUNNUAUUCCGGAUUGGANUNUGCAACUNGACUCCANGAAGUCGGAAUCGCUAGUAAUNGUAGAUCAGAAUGCUACGGUGAAUACGUUCCCGGGCCUUGUACACACCGCCCGUCACACCAUGGGAGUGGGUUGCANANAAGAAGCUAGGUAGCUUAACCUUCGGGAGGG